AAGAUAUUCAGUGCCUUCUAGUUUACUUCUUACAAUGGAUCAGUUACCUUAUUAGGACCAGUUACUUGCAGUGUCUCUAUUUAUGGUAUCUGAGUUUAGAUAGGAAUGAUGAAAAUGUGGCAGGAUUAAAACAUCUGUGAAAGUUUUUCAAACAGAAGAAGCAUAAAGCAAAUGCAAAUGUCACUAUACGUGAUUAAAUCUGGGGAAUGGUCACAGAAUUAAAAAAGAAGGCAAAUUGGGUUUGAGCAUAGGGCAUAGGGAGGACAACAGAAGAAGAAGAAGUUGAGAAGAAAGCAAUAGCCAAAUCAUCUAGUGCUUUGUAGGGUAGUGAAAUUGUUAAUUUUAGGUGUCAGCUGACUGGAUUAAAGAAUGACCAGUUUCCUGAGAAAGCAUUAUUUUUUGGUGUGCCUGGGAGGGUGUUUCUAGAAGAGAUUAGCAUUUGAAACAGUGGACUGAAUAAGGAAGAUCUGCGCUCACUCAGUGAGGACUGGCACCAUCUGAAGUUGCACAUAGAACAAAAAGGCAGAGAAAAGGUGAAUUAACUCUCUCUGUUUCCCUCUCUCUUCUGGAGUUGGGACAUCCUUCUUCACUUGCUCUUGGACAUCAGAAGUAGAAGUUCUCUGGCCUUUGGACUUCAAGACCUGCACAAGCAGGCGCCCAGUUUCUCAGGCUAUCAGACUCAGAUUGAGAAUAAUACCAUCAGCUUCUCUGGCUCUGAGGACUUAGACUUGCACUGGACUAUGAUAUUGGCUUCCCUGGUUCUCCAGCUUGCAGAAGGCCUAAGACUUAUCAGCCUCCACAACUGUGUUAGAAGACAGAUGCUCCAACUUCCCGGGAUGCUCAGGAGUGUCAGCCUAGCUCCUGGGAUUCUUGAAGCACUUGAAAUCCUACUACAUCAUGCAAAAUUGGAUUUGGAUUAUUCAACUUCCAAUUUUAUUUUUUAUUUUAAUUUUAUUUUUGCACAUUGGCCAGUGCCUUGGAGAGCAAUAUAAAUCAGUAAGUCUCUCCUGGCAUUUUCCUGAUCUCUGCUACAUCAUCUCAAAACCACAAAAUUCAGAUGUACAGAGUAACAAAACAUUACUUGAAGUUGAUAUUAAUAUAUAGAAAAUAGAAAGUUCACAUCACAUUGUAUCAUAUUAAUGGUGAAUAAAAUAGAAGUUACUGACCCAAGGACUGAUUUAAUCUCUUCAAAAAAUUCAGUGC
This 1203-nucleotide long non-coding RNA is filed under the name Homo sapiens (human). RNAcentral describes it as "HSALNT0192276". The record is from RNAcentral. Lineage: Eukaryota; Metazoa; Chordata; Mammalia; Primates; Hominidae.